Long non-coding RNA from Ceratitis capitata (Mediterranean fruit fly), 1054 nucleotides. RefSeq lists it as uncharacterized. The transcript is spliced from 3 exons. The record is from RefSeq and is a predicted model, not a curated record. NCBI's taxonomy places the organism in Eukaryota, Metazoa, Arthropoda, Insecta, Diptera, Tephritidae.
UUCACGAAAAAACGUCGAAAUUUCAACCCGCACACUGGGCUACUGCCCACACGACGCUAAAUCACUAAUUUCGGUCACUGUUCCACGGUUAGCAUGUCAAUGAAUACUAAUUAACUUUGAAGAUGCCUCUGUGCAGUUGCUUAUUGUUCUCGGAAAAAUUAUGGCUGCCAUCACCGCGGACCAGAAAAUAUGAUGUACCGUACAACGACGUAAGAGGGCAGUGGACUUUUAGUUAGCGUUUCAAAUGUGCCUACUAUCCAUGGUCCUAAUAUUGAACACUACUAUGUCGUGCCUUUGAGCAGGCGACAAAAAGCAACUCACAACAGACAGCAAUCAUUCUACGCGGCUUAUACUCUCGAUCUCUAGCAGCACUGAUAAACAACUUCUUAUGAAGGAACUAUGAGACAGUAUUUCAAGUGCUGAAGCUAUGGAACGUUGAGCUAAAGCAAUAAGGGAACAGUGACUAUGCUGACCAGAUUACGUUGCAGUUCACGCUAAUAGAAACAGAAGAAGAAGAAAAGCCCACAAGUAUUACAGAACACAUAAUAUUUAAAUUAAUAACUGCAGGCAACAAGAAAAGUGAAUUGCUAGUUUAUUCUGCUACACUGUUGAGAGGGGUGUUAAGAUGAGCACAAAAGAUGUGGGGUUUCGAUUAGGGUUGUACCGUGUUUAACAUACUGAGCCCCUCCUGUACAAAGUGUUAAAUUUGUAGCACCGCAACUUCGAUGUGAAGCCGAUCUUAUAUGUUAAUACGCCCAAAUUCUAAUGUUGAUGUAAACUUUUGCGGUUUUCUGACUGACUCCGUAAUAACACAGUGCAAUAUGGUGGAGAUGCUCUGACGUGCGCGGGUAGUAUAACAUUGAACGUGUCUCGGAAGGACGACGGCCAGUGAUGGUAUCCACCAUAAGUAUCAAUGCUAAAUUAAUAAUUUUAUUUAUGCCUUUGUGGAAUAAAACAAAUAUCUGCUGACAUGGGUAGCAGUCUGAGUGGCAGGUAUUACCGUAAGUUGAGACGCAGAUUUAAAGGAGGUCAGAUGGGAUACUUAAUCGUGGAC